UACAGGUUUUAACUGGAGUCAAUUUACUGGUCUUCCCACUGUUUUAAUUUGUCUAUAAAGUGUUUACCAGUCUACCUGUCAUUCUACCUCCGGCCUACCCUCAACCUGGCCAAAAUUCCUAAUCAAGCCAGGUUGUUAUUGCCCAUACAUACAAGGUUUUUGUUGUUCAGCCUCCAGCCUGCCCACCUUUGUCACUGAUCCAACUCCCUCUGCAUUACCAUUCCUCCCCCUACAUUGUUGUCUCACCCCCUCCAUGUCACCAAUUUGGUCCUACUCCCACUCCCUAAGCUUGAGCAAGAAUCUUUCUAAAAAAAAAAAUUACGGGGGGGGGCAAUCAUAAUGAGGGGAUAUUAGGCCUAUUAUAAAGAUAGGAACAGAUGACUUACCUCAAUGUAUCAUGUUUAUGUUUUGAAUGCUUUACUUUAAAAUUUAUUUUAGCUGCACAAUCCAUACAAAUAUCAUUAGAUCAGUUUUGUGCCACAGAAUCAGUACAGCAUUAUUUUUUUCAUCCAUCUGUAAGACAUUCCAUCUAGCUUGGAAUAUUGCUAGUCAGUUUAGUUUUACAUAAUUCAUUCUGUAAAAAAACUGGUUCUGCUUUAUGGAUGUUAUACAUUUGUGAGAUAGAAUGCUUGUUAUAACAGAAUGUACAAAACAAAUAUUUCUUUUGUACAUUUGUUACCAGUGUAUAUGGCCACACAUUUUUUUCUGUGUAAUGAGGAUUGUUCUUUGUAUACAGAAUAUAUUUUUGUAGACAAAAUGUAUUGACACCCAAUAGAAAAAUUCACAGAAAAGGUGAAAAAUUUGCGAAACUUUUUUGAAGUAACUUUUUGAGGUAACUUUUUUUGCAGCAACCACAACUUCUUCCUCACUCUGCAGAAAAAUUUUGCGGCAGUUUUGUGAAAAAAUUCACCAAUGCCGAAAUGUGUAAUUUUGCUGUGAAUCCAUGCCUGCCAAAAAAAUUUCCGCAUCACUAGCAACAGGCUUUUAGCUGCAAAGACAUAUAAAAUGGCUGCGCAUUAUAUUCUAAAUUGGGCACAAUAUAAGACGAGAAUUAGAAAGGUAGCCAUAUUAGCUAGUUAAUUGGUAUAUGCAGUUAUACAGCCUUAUGGCCUAGUUGCCCCUUGAGUACUUACUGGCAAUAUGUCCCAUUCCUUAUGCUAUUAGCCCCAUAACAAAUCUUAUUUUGCAUUUGGGCCAUUUUUCUAUCUCACUGCCCCAUAUUAAAUAUAUCCUAUGGCGGGGAGGCAAUUAUCAAUGCUGGAAAGUAAUCAAAGGUGUCCAUUUACAUUUUUGCUUUCAUAGUUCAGCUGGCUAAACAGAGCAAACUGACGGUUUACUAAGGGUUACUGCCACGGUGCAAUCUUGCCCAGCUGUAUUUUCACAGGCACUCCUACUUACUAUGGACACAGGGCCUGAUUUAUAUUUUUUACUAUUGGGCCGGGUAAAUUUAAAUUAGUGGUUCUGAAAUUAAAGUGAUGCUCCUUAGGGGGUUCACUCAGUAGCAUUAAAGCUAAACAUUUUUUCAAAAAAUGAAUUUUAACAUUUUGAGAGUCACUGACUGUGCCUUUAGGCCACCGAGUGGGAUGAGGAUGUUGUCAUUUAACAAAAUGUAUUGGUUUCUUUUGUAGAAAGCUGUCUGCACAGCAUCCAACUUCUGUCACUGCUUUCUUUUAUACAUAUAGGUGGGAGCUGCCAUACAAUUUGCCUUUGUGACGAUAUAGCAACCAAAAGGCUAUCAAAACUAUGGCAGUUCUGUAGCAGUGCGCACUUGUGUGUAUUACGGUUGAAGUGGAGAGUGCCUCAGUCCAGCACAGUAUGCCUACCUUACUGAUAAUGCUCUGCCUAACUAUAUAAAAUGUCCAAUAAUUACAGACCUUUCACCAAACACAUCUUACUGUACAUACUGAUUUAUAGAUCCAUUUCUUACAAUUCUGCUUUCUUUUAUGUUUCAGGAACUAAGGGAAGAGCUGAAAGGACUGGCCUUCUCCUGUGCAGCAAUGUAAUUUUGUCCAUAAGAUUCUUUAUCUUGUGGAGCUCAAAUCAAGGACGUUGCCCUCCCUGCCCCUCACCACAAGGGGGCUGUAGGCCUUGCCCUCCUGUCUGCCCACCCUGUGUGCCAGUCAUAUGUCCUCCUCCACCCCCUCCUGUGGUUUGCUAUCCAGUUGGGUGCCAGUCCGUACCACAGGUGCCUAUAAUACCUCAAUGCCCCCCUCAAUACCCAUAUGGCUGUGGCCCACCUUGCUAACACAAGAAGCACAAAUACCAUCAACAGUCAUGCAAAGCAAGGCCAUGGUUCCAGCUUUGACUGAUGGGUGAUCUGUGGAUUAAGAUGGAUGCAUUCAAAUGUUAAUUUCUUUCUGCUUUAGGACAUACCAUCACAUAUAACCCCAUAUAAUGCAAUGCAUAUAAUAUCAAUUGUAGUAAUGUACCUGCCCUGCCUAUCUUACUUACUUAUUGUAUAC
Molecule: long non-coding RNA, 2462 nt
Organism: Xenopus tropicalis (tropical clawed frog)
Lineage: Eukaryota; Metazoa; Chordata; Amphibia; Anura; Pipidae
Exons: 4
Source: RefSeq, a predicted model, not a curated record